Molecule: ribosomal RNA, 372 nt
Filed under: uncultured bacterium
Lineage: Bacteria
Description: bacterial SSU rRNA
Rfam family: Bacterial small subunit ribosomal RNA
Source: RNAcentral
AUACGUAGGGGGCGAGCGUUGUCCGGAUUUAUUGGGCGUAAAGGGUUCGUAGGCGGUUAUUUAAGUCAGAUGUGAAAGGCACAGGCUUAACCUGUGUAAGCAUUUGAAACUGGAUAACUUGAGUUAAGGAGAGGAAAGUGGAAUUCCUAGUGUAGCGGUGAAAUGCGUAGAUAUUAGGAGGAAUACCAGUGGCGAAGGCGACUUUCUGGACUUAUACUGACGCUGAGGAACGAAAGCGUGGGGAGCAAACAGGAUUAGAUACCCUGGUAGUCCACGCCGUAAACGAUGAGUGCUAGGUGUUGGGGGUCAAACCUCGGUGCCGCAGCUAACGCAUUAAGCACUCCGCCUGGGGAGUACGUACGCAAGUAUGAA